This 392-nucleotide ribosomal RNA is filed under the name Salmonella enterica. Its description in RNAcentral is "partial 23S ribosomal RNA". It matches the Rfam family "Bacterial large subunit ribosomal RNA", at positions 831 to 1221 of the family's 2925-position model. Lineage: Bacteria; Pseudomonadati; Pseudomonadota; Gammaproteobacteria; Enterobacterales; Enterobacteriaceae. The record is from RNAcentral.
AAUCAAACCGGGAGAUAGCUGGUUCUCCCCGAAAGCUAUUUAGGUAGCGCCUCGUGAAUUCAUCUCCGGGGGUAGAGCACUGUUUCGGCUAGGGGGCCAUCCCGGCUUACCAACCCGAUGCAAACUGCGAAUACCGGAGAAUGUUAUCACGGGAGACACACGGCGGGUGCUAACGUCCGUCGUGAAGAGGGAAACAACCCAGACCGCCAGCUAAGGUCCCAAAGUCAUGGUUAAGUGGGAAACGAUGUGGGAAGGCCCAGACAGCCAGGAUGUUGGCUUAGAAGCAGCCAUCAUUUAAAGAAAGCGUAAUAGCUCACUGGUCGAGUCGGCCUGCGCGGAAGAUGUAACGGGGCUAAACCAUGCACCGAAGCUGCGGCAGCGAACGUAUCACC